UUUCCCUCAGGAUAGCUGGCACUCGCGAACAAUUUUUGCGCGAGUCUCAUCUGGUAAAGCGAAUGAUUAGAGGCCUUGGGGCCGAAACGACCUCAACCUAUUCUCAAACUUUAAAUGGGUGAGAUCUCUGGCUUGCUUGAACGUUGAAGCCACGAGAUUGGAUCAGAGUGCCAAGUGGGCCAAUUUUGGUAAGCAGAACUGGCGCUGUGGGA
RNAcentral lists this ribosomal RNA (212 nucleotides) under Eurytoma gigantea. RNAcentral's name for it is "partial 28S ribosomal RNA". It matches the Rfam family "Eukaryotic large subunit ribosomal RNA", at positions 967 to 1163 of the family's 3401-position model. Lineage: Eukaryota; Metazoa; Arthropoda; Insecta; Hymenoptera; Eurytomidae. The record is from RNAcentral.